AGAGGCCCUCUGUGGCCGGGGUGGAACACUUGCCUCAUCACUGCGGUGACGAAGCAAGCAUUCUGCCAGGCCGCUAAUGCUGCCCGA
Myotis brandtii (Brandt's bat) is the source of this 87-nucleotide non-coding RNA. The record is from Rfam. Lineage: Eukaryota; Metazoa; Chordata; Mammalia; Chiroptera; Vespertilionidae.